UUCUGGCUCAGGACGAACGCUGGCGGCGUGCCUAACACAUGCAAGUCGAGCGGGGAUACGGAUGAAGAAGCUUCGGCGGAUGGAAUUGUAUCGAGCGGCGGACGGGUGAGUAACGCGUGAACAAUCUGUCCCGGACAGGGGGAUAACACUUGGAAACAGGUGCUAAUACCGCAUAAGACCACGGUACCGCAUGGUAGAGGGGUAAAAGGAGUGAUCCGGUCUGGGGGUGAGUUCGCGUCUGAUUAGCCAGUUGGUGAGGUAACGGCCCACCAAAGCGACGAUCAGUAGCCGACCUGAGAGGGUGAACGGCCACAUUGGAACUGAGAGACGGUCCAAACUCCUACGGGAGGCAGCAGUGGGGAAUAUUGGGCAAUGGGCGAAAAAGCCUGACCCAGCAACGCCGCGUGAGGGAAGAAGGUUUUCGGAUUGUAAACCUCUGUCCUUGGUGACGAAGGAAGUGACGGUAGCCAAGGAGGAAGCCCCGGCUAACUACGUGCCAGCCGCCGC
Molecule: ribosomal RNA, 507 nt
Filed under: uncultured bacterium
Lineage: Bacteria
Description: bacterial SSU rRNA
Rfam family: Bacterial small subunit ribosomal RNA
Source: RNAcentral